UACGGGGGGGGCAAGCGUUAUUCGGAAUUACUGGGCGUAAAGGGCUCGUAGGUGGCCAACUAAGUCAGACGUGAAAUCCCUCGGCUUAACCGGGGAACUGCGUCUGAUACUGGAUGGCUUGAGUGUGGGAGAGGGAUGCGGAAUUCCAGGUGUAGCGGUGAAAUGCGUAGAUAUCUGGAGGAACACCGGUGGCGAAGGCGGCAUCCUGGACCGACACUGACGCUGAGGAGCGAAAGCCAGGGGAGCAAACGGG
Molecule: ribosomal RNA, 253 nt
Filed under: uncultured bacterium
Lineage: Bacteria
Description: partial 16S ribosomal RNA
Rfam family: Bacterial small subunit ribosomal RNA
Source: RNAcentral